CGGACGGGUGAGUAAUGCUUAGGAAUCUGCCUAUUAGUGGGGGACAACAUUCCGAAAGGAAUGCUAAUACCGCAUACGCCCUACGGGGGAAAGCAGGGGAUCUUCGGACCUUGCGCUAAUAGAUGAGCCUAAGUCAGAUUAGCUAGUUGGUGGGGUAAAGGCCUACCAAGGCGACGAUCUGUAGCGGGUCUGAGAGGAUGAUCCGCCACACUGGGACUGAGACACGGCCCAGACUCCUACGGGAGGCAGCAGUGGGGAAUAUUGGACAAUGGGCGAAAGCCUGAUCCAGCCAUGCCGCGUGUGUGAAGAAGGCCUUUUGGUUGUAAAGCACUUUAAGCGAGGAGGAGGCUACUGAGAUUAAUACUCUAGGAUAGUGGACGUUACUCGCAGAAUAAGCACCGGCUAACUCUGUGCCAGCAGCCGCGGUAAUACAGAGGGUGCGAGCGUUAAUCGGAUUUACUGGGCGUAAAGCGUGCGUAGGCGGCUUUUUAAGUCGGAUGUGAAAUCCCUGAGCUUAACUUAGGAAUUGCAUUCGAUACUGGGAAGCUAGAGUAUGGGAGAGGAUGGUAGAAUUCCAGGUGUAGCGGUGAAAUGCGUAGAGAUCUGGAGGAAUACCGAUGGCGAAGGCAGCCAUCUGGCCUAAUACUGACGCUGAGGUACGAAAGCAUGGGGAGCAAACAGGAUU
RNAcentral lists this ribosomal RNA (685 nucleotides) under Acinetobacter sp. JA05-2. Its description in RNAcentral is "bacterial SSU rRNA". It matches the Rfam family "Bacterial small subunit ribosomal RNA", at positions 99 to 779 of the family's 1533-position model. The record is from RNAcentral. Lineage: Bacteria; Pseudomonadati; Pseudomonadota; Gammaproteobacteria; Moraxellales; Moraxellaceae.